AGCCCGCUCAGAAACUUAAAGGAAUUGACGGGGGCCCGCACAAGCGGUGGAGCAUGUGGUUUAAUUCGAUGAUACGCGAGGAACCUUACCUGGGCUCAAAUGUAUGUUGACGUAUUCUGAAAGGGAUACUUCUUCGGACAAUAUACAAGGUGCUGCAUGGUUGUCGUCAGCUCGUGCCGUGAGGUGUCGGGUUAAGUCCCAUAACGAGCGCAACCCCUAUCAUUAGUUGCCAGCAGUUCGGCUGGGCACUCUAAAGGGACUGCCGGUGUUAAACCGGAGGAAGGUGGGGAUGACGUCAAGUCCUCAUGGCCUUUAUGACCAGGGCUACACACGUACUACAAUGGCCGAUACAAAGGGCAGCGACACUGCGAGGUGAAGCCAAUCCCGUAAAAUCGGUCUCAGUCCGGAUUGGAGUCUGCAACUCGACUCCAUGAAGUUGGAAUCGCUAGUAAUCGUGGAUCAGCAUGCCACGGUGAAUACGUUCCCGGGCCUU
Molecule: ribosomal RNA, 493 nt
Filed under: uncultured Desulfobulbus sp.
Lineage: Bacteria; Pseudomonadati; Thermodesulfobacteriota; Desulfobulbia; Desulfobulbales; Desulfobulbaceae
Description: bacterial SSU rRNA
Rfam family: Bacterial small subunit ribosomal RNA
Source: RNAcentral